UGUCUUGAUGUUGUUGAUCGUCGCUUCCCUCGCACCUCUUACACGUACACUUUCAUGCGUUCAUCUACACGACUCGUAUACCGUGACAUUCGACAAACACAAAACUUAACCGACCAUUCAAAUUUCUUUCUUCCGAUGUUGCUUCAGGGACGACUUCUGCGGAUAACAGUUGGAGAAACAUGACAUUAGUAUCAGGUGUUGAACUUCCUUGAGAAUCGAAUAUGAACGAUAUACGAGGGACACAGCACGCACAGCUAAUAUGUCAUUGCGGUUCGUUCGUGUGUACAUUUCGUGCGUUCGCUGUGAAUACCAAAAAAAGAGCACUGAUUGCCAGGAUCCGGGAGAAUUUCAAGAAAUCUCGCAAGAAAAUAUUGCAUCGAAUUAAUAGUAACGUAAAUGACGCACAAAGGCAGGAUAAGGUACCGCCAAUUGAAAUGAGAUAACGUAAAAUGUUGUCAACUUUCGUUAACCUAAGAAGAAAAUGAAUUCUGGAUGACACGAACACUCGGCGAAGAUAGUAAUAAAACGCACGAGAAUUUCAUGAAUUAUUGACUGGAAGAAUUUUUUAUACGGUGAUCUGUGACAAACACAUUCGCAGAAUAUAAGAAAUUAUAAGCCUCGUCACCGACUCCAAUCCGAGUCACCGAUUUCCUUUGCUACGUGAAAUGUAACAUUAAUGCUUUACGUAUCGGUAUACAAACGAAAUAAAGUUGAUCAUACAAAUCGACACGUCACCAAUGGUUUAACAAUUGCAUUUGUUCCGUUCGCGAACUCCCCCGUAAUACGAUUCACGGUGUUGUUUAAGAAUUGACAAAGAACGAUCAUGUUAAUUUAUUCAUCCAUAAUACGAUAACGUUUUUUUUUAGACAUGUAACAAUUAUAUAACAUACGUACGAUUUUCAAAAAAUUAAUCACAUGCUGCGUUGUUAUCUUCAAGUUCACACGAAAAGUGGUCGGAAUAAGAUAUCGCCUAUUAUUAGAUUCGCUAUUUCAGGAUCUUGAAUACUCUUCAGAACAAUCACACUGCUCCGGAAACCAUUCGAAACGUGAUUGUCGCGUACGGAUAGACAUUAGCUAGCCGGUACACAGAUCACAAUUGGUGCAACACCAAAACACACUGGGUCCGUUGAGAUAACACCUUUAAAAUCUUCGAUGGAAAAGGAACAUGACACGCAGAGUCUAAAUACGCAGACAGGCAGACAAGCAAGCAGAGCGAUGUGGCACAAGAAAACAGCACAAGUAAUACUCAGUCGGUAACUUCGACACUAUGGAGCACUUCAUAAACACGAUACGUUUGAUAACCUUAUAACACGAUAAAAUACGCGUAUUGAAGAUGUACAAAAGUAGAAACAAAAAUUCCAAUAAUCGACGAAAAAACUGGGAGACGUCAGAGAAACUUCCACGGCACAGACAACCACGAAUCAAUGAACGACCAACAAACGAAUGCACAGUCGAUUAGAAUACAUUUGAAAUGUUGCAGAUGAACGUUCGCAUACGAGCAUUCAGCAAGCACUAUUGUGUACUUUCUGCAUUAAUCGUACCCAACUAUGAGAAUUCGUACACAUUUCAAUAUUACACUUCGUCACAGCACUAUCGUUCAACUGUUUCAAUUUAGACACAAUUACAGUAAUAAUUGUUUUCUCUUUCUUCGUUACUCUUCUUGUUUAUCCAAACCGAAGAAUAAACACAAUAAACGGAAAGAGAGUAGGAAGAGAGGGGGAAAACAAUGCACUUCAUAAUGUAAUUGAACAGUGUAUGUCAGAUAAUCAUGAGCAUGUGUAAAGAGAAUCAAAAUGAGAAAUUAUGAACAUUCACACGUAUUUUUCGAAGAAAGAAGGAUGAAGGAGGAUCGUGUGUUACGAAGUAUGCGUGUGUGCAUACGCGCGCGCUCGCGCUUGCGUGCGUGCAUGCGUGUACAUGUGUAUGUUGAGUAUAUGUGUAUUAGACGCGCGUAUAUAGACGAGAAAAAGGAUAUAAAAAAGGGGCGCAGAAUAUGUUUUAGCAAUUGUUUCGGAACACCAACAUUUCUUUGUCCUCACUGUGUAAAAGCUAAGCUCCUUGCAGUAGUUGAACACGAUCGAAAACGUACUGGUUAGUUUUACGACACAUUUCUCUUCUCUUACCCGAACUACUCCGUGGUAUUCCUAAGCGGCGGCCACGGUGAUUAAAAAACACUCGCGUUUUACAUUCGCGCCCCAACGAAGGGUAGUCGAAAUCGUACGGUCAGUCCAACGUUUUCAGGGCCGCCAGGUUAACGUCACGAAAUCCACCGACACAACCAUAGAUCCAAACGGUGGACGGACGGACGUAAGGACGGACGGCUGGCUGGCAGCAGGCAAAGCGGAAUCACAGAGAGAUUCGGGGGAAGGGGUAUUGAAUGCGGCGGGGUGAGGGUAAAGUUUCUAGACACGGGGCAGGUGGGGUCAUAAGGGACCGGGGACGUACACGUUAGAGUGGGGUGAAAACGAACGAGAACGGGCGAGCAACCGAACCGACCGACAACGUAGCGUCGCGGGGGACGGAGGUCUACGCUAGCUCAGGACCGUUUUAUCCUGGUUCCAUUAGUGCCACUCUUCAUUGCCCUCGACACAUUUUUCUCUUUUUUCCCCUUAUUUCAAUACUUAUUAUUAAGCAGUAAAUGUCUUUUGAAUCGUUCGAUUAAUAUAGAUGGAGUUUACAAUACUGAAUAAGAAUUUGACAAUCGGGAACAUAUACUCUUUGUACUAACGGCACGGCGAAAACAGAAAUACAUGUAUAAGUCUUGAAAGAUCUCCGCGACUUAAAGGUGAUAGCUUACGAACCAAAUCCUAAAUAGAUGUUGCGAAAAAUAUCAUAAAUUGUUUUGGAUGGAUAUGUUUACAUGUGUUAUAGAUUGUUUUACAAAAUGUUAUCGAUUAUGGUCCUUGAAAUAGUAAAUAAUACCUCUGUAACAUUCUUAAAUUUCAUAUAUAUUGUAGCUAUUAUGCAAACACAUUUUCUAAUUCUGCGUUUAUUUAAGCUUUGUUAUUCCAUAAAAAGAUGUGGAAAUAGAAAGUUUUCUCAAUCUAUUGAAAUGUUGGAUGAAAAAUACUAAAAAUUCAAAAUCAAAGCAAUACGAACAUAGCAAUAUGAAACUUACAAAAUAAAAUAAACGUUCUACAUGUAUGUAUAUAUUAUGUGACCUGUUAUUGCACACAGGUCACAGAAAUUAUGUGAUUUUUGUUGAACGAUUUUUAUUUUUUAACUAUUUUUUAUACGUUUAUAUAUGUAUGUACCACGCUUUAGCAUUUGUUUGACGAGUAGCCCAUAUGUUUCGCCAUCUAACCCCUAAAAUUGUAGAAUUUGCCAUCGGCUAAACUCCUUUUAAUGUAAAUAGAAUAAGGACAAUCAUUACAUGUUACUGUAUCAGA
Molecule: long non-coding RNA, 3389 nt
Organism: Megalopta genalis
Lineage: Eukaryota; Metazoa; Arthropoda; Insecta; Hymenoptera; Halictidae
Source: RefSeq, a predicted model, not a curated record